RNAcentral lists this transfer RNA (116 nucleotides) under Puccinia triticina 1-1 BBBD Race 1. Its description in RNAcentral is "Puccinia triticina tRNA PTTG_20353". It matches the Rfam family "tRNA". From Rfam's summary of the family: Transfer RNA (tRNA) molecules are approximately 80 nucleotides in length. Their secondary structure includes four short double-helical elements and three loops (D, anti-codon, and T loops). Further hydrogen bonds mediate the characteristic L-shaped molecular structure. tRNAs have two regions of fundamental functional importance: the anti-codon, which is responsible for specific mRNA codon recognition, and the 3' end, to which the tRNAs corresponding amino acid is attached (by aminoacyl-tRNA synthetases). tRNAs cope with the degeneracy of the genetic code in two manners: having more than one tRNA (with a specific anti-codon) for a particular amino acid; and 'wobble' base-pairing, i.e. permitting non-standard base-pairing at the 3rd anti-codon position. The record is from Rfam by way of RNAcentral. Lineage: Eukaryota; Fungi; Basidiomycota; Pucciniomycetes; Pucciniales; Pucciniaceae.
GACAACGUGGCCGAGCGGUUAAGGCGAUUGACUAGAAUCUGCGUUCUAAGACCCAGCAUUUGGUGUCUAUCAUCAAUUGGGAUUUUCCCGCGUAGGUUCAAAUCCUGCCGUUGUCG